This is an RNA transcript of Culex pipiens pallens (northern house mosquito), 1468 nucleotides long. It is a transcript of the gene named apolipoprotein D-like, with no coding region annotated. NCBI's taxonomy places the organism in Eukaryota, Metazoa, Arthropoda, Insecta, Diptera, Culicidae. The record is from RefSeq and is a predicted model, not a curated record. The transcript is spliced from 5 exons.
UCCCGCAGCUACUGACUGAUUACGGCAGCGUGUACAACUCGAACGACGCCAAGCUCAGUGCACGGUGUCCAAAGAUUGCGCCCCAGAGGCAAUCGUCCAGCUUCUCGCAGCAGAUUCUCGGCGAACUGAUUCAAUUUAACUUUUCCGUUGAGCUCGUCUGGAUCGUUCGUCUUCUUCGUCCUCUACCUCGUGUUCCAGUGUUUUUUUUUCCUCGCUGAACUGCUUGAAGUUCUUGGCGAUAUCUCGGUAGUUCGCGUGCGUGUGUAAAACUCGUUAGUUUGGUAUCAGGAAAAGUUCAAAAGUGACGUUUUUUUCUCUCUCUCCUAGUGUCCAGAUAGCGUUAGUAUAAAUUGCGUGAAAAAAGUUUUUAUUUUGCUGAAAUAGUUCCAAGAUGGCAAAGUUUCCGGCACUGAUGGCGAUUUGUGCCGUCGUAUGCGGUUUAGUCACGCUCACGGCAGGCCACACGUACAAAACCGGGGAGUGUCCACCGGUGGAACCGAUGAACGACUUCGAGAUGAAAAAGUUCACCGGCGUGUGGUACGUGAUCCAGAAAACCGGCACCGCGUCCACCUGUGUCAUCUACAACAUCACCAAAAGCGAGGACCCCGGCGAGUACGACAUCGAGCAGCGUUCCCAGCGAGCCCCGCUCUCGGUUGGCCCCUUCAAGCACGAGUACAGCUACACCGGCAAGCUGACCGCGACCGACCGGGACGUGCCCGCCCGGAUGACCGCUCGGUUUCCGUUGAGUGUUGCCGGUUCCGCUAAAUUUGUCGUCUUUAUGAGCGACUUUGAAACCUACGCCGGGGUGUUCUCCUGCCAGAAGAUCCCGCUUGGUCACCGCCAGAGCGCAACGAUUCUGUCCCGCACCCGCGAUCUGGACAAGAUCUACGUCGACAAAAUCCGCAACCGCCUCGCGAGCUUCUCGGUGGAUCCGUUCGACCUGAGCAUCAUCAACCAGACCGGUUGUCCGAAGGAGGGCGAAGCCGGCUGGAACAUCCACGUCGACACCAACACCUUCUCGGCGAAGAACAUCGCGAACGUGUUCCGCAAGGCCGGCGAGAAGAUCGGCGACGGGUUCGAGUACGCCGUCAACGCCGGCAAAAAGGUUCAUAACUUUAUGUUUUGAGCUUGUUGAGCUUCCUAGAGGAAGAGCCACGUGGGUCUUCACCUUUUUUUUGUGUGUGCUUUUUUAACCAUAUUACGAAUUUCCCGAUUUAUAACCAAUACACCGACUCAAGCAACGAACAUGGCGCAACCACCACCGACAAUGGCCAUCGUGCGGAACGUUUGACGGUGUCACAGGAACCGGAUGCCGAGUGGUUGCCUUGAAAAGGGGAACGGCAGAGCUAUUUUAGGAGGAAGUGUGUCGAUAUGAAUGGUUUCGAAUAAUUUACUCAGAUUACAUACGUCAGCGAAGAAAAUUUUAACAAAAUUGAGGCAAAAUAAAGUGAAGUGACAAUAAGCAUAA